ACCGGCGCACGGGUGAGUAACACGUAUGCAACCUGCCUGUAAGAGGGGAAUAACCCGUUGAAAGACGGACUAAUACCGCAUAAUACUGGAAAUCUGCAUGGAUAUUCAGUUAAACAUUUAUGGCUUACAGAUGGGCAUGCGCAUGAUUAGCUAGUUGGAGAGGUAAUGGCUCCCCAAGGCAACGAUCAUUAGGGGUUCUGAGAGGAAGGUCCCCCACACUGGUACUGAGACACGGACCAGACUCCUACGGGAGGCAGCAGUGAGGAAUAUUGGUCAAUGGGCGAGAGCCUGAACCAGCCAAGUCGCGUGCAGGAAGAAUGUCCUAUGGAUUGUAAACUGCUUUUGCAGGGGAAUAAAGUGAGCCACGUGUGGUUUUUUGUAUGUACUCUGCGAAUAAGGAUCGGCUAACUCCGUGCCAGCAGCCGCGGUAAUACGGAGGAUCCGAGCGUUAUCCGGAUUUAUUGGGUUUAAAGGGUGCGUAGGCGGGAUAAUAAGUCAGUGGUGAAAGUUUGCAGCUUAACUGUAAAAUUGCCGUUGAAACUGUUAUUCUUGAGAGUAGAUAAGGUAGGCGGAAUGUGUUGUGUAGCGGUGAAAUGCAUAGAUAUAACACAGAACCCCGAUUGCGAAGGCAGCUUACCGGGCUACAUCUGACGCUGAUGCACGAAAGCGUGGGGAUCAAACAGGAUUAGAUACCCUGGUAGUCCACGCAGUAAACGAUGAAUACUAGCUGUAUGCGAUAUACUGUAUGUGGCAAAGCGAAAGCAUUAA
This 768-nucleotide ribosomal RNA is filed under the name uncultured bacterium. RNAcentral's name for it is "bacterial SSU rRNA". It matches the Rfam family "Bacterial small subunit ribosomal RNA", at positions 94 to 863 of the family's 1533-position model. The record is from RNAcentral.